Python bivittatus (Burmese python) is the source of this 4640-nucleotide non-coding RNA. Lineage: Eukaryota; Metazoa; Chordata; Lepidosauria; Squamata; Pythonidae. The record is from RefSeq and is a predicted model, not a curated record.
AUUAAGCAUAUAGACUGCGGAACGUUAGACGGGUGUCUGAAGAUUCUGAGUGGGUUUUGGAUACCGUUUUUCUUUCUCGCUCGCGGAUUAAGAAGCAGAGAUGGGCUGGUUGUGAGCCUCGGGGAAAGUGAUUUGGACUUUAGCAAAAUGGGUUGGGACUUGGUAGCAAAACAGAACAAGGAAAGCACACAUACAUGUGCAGAGGAGACAGCAGGAUUAGGCAAAGAGACGUGGCAUGGGAGAAUUUGUUGGUGAGUACCAACGGGGGCCUACCCGCACAGGUAUUAAGACCAAAGGAACUGCAUCAGAAGUAAAACAAAACCAAAUGAAUUGAGCUGAAGAUCAUUCCUCAAAGUCAGUCUGUGACAUAAUGGAGAGACAUUAGACAGAACAAGCAGCCCCAUUUGCUGUCUCUGGAGUCUUCAAGAUGCACUUUUAUAAUUAACAGUGAAAUCCCAAUUAUUUUCAGUGGAAACAAAAGAAUGAAGAUAUCCUGAGCCUCCAAUAAAGUUAAUGCACCUAAAAAUAUAUUUUAAUCUCUAGAAGUAAGAAAUAUAUAUCUUAGAAGAUGUGGUGUUCCAUAGCUCUUCGCUCCCACAGGUUUUGGAAGGUGUGAUGUUGCUAUCAUUGGUGAUGGCUGUUGCUUAGCCCUCUUCUAUUCAUUCCCUCAUACCUUCCACAACUGUUUUGUACAAUCACACAUUUUAUUUAUUUUACACUGGGAUUCUUGCACUACUGAAACCUCCCUUUGAAACUUUGCUUAUUUUUCAGUGUUUGCUUUCACAGUGGAAGGAAGAAACAUUUUCCUAUAUAUGUAUGAAGGCAAAUUAACAUUCUUUAUAGAAAAAUAAUUGUAUACACAUUUAACAAAAUUGAACGUGAGGAAGAAAAACAGGUCUUGAAGCAAUCAUCAAUCUUCUAGAAAUCAUUGUUCCCUUCAGUCCCUUAAGAUGACCUCAUGUAUUAUUAAAGAUUUAAUUGUAAAUAGUAGUAUCUCACAUUGUUAGAAAACAUAGGAAUGCUGUUAAUAACUUUUCUUUCAUUUUAAAAAAGCAAAGGAACAUUUGUAGUAACAUAUGGUACAGGACAAGGAUUCUCAGCUUGUUUUGUCUAAGGCCACACUUUAUUUUUUAUUACUUUUUUAUUAUUACUUUUUAAUUAUUUUUUAUUUUAUUACCUCUAAGAGUCACAGAGGAUGUGAUGAUAACAUGGUGACAUCAUUGCAAGGGCCAAAUUUUUACAGAGUUUGGGGUUAAUGCAAAAUAGGCAUGUUAGACCUCUGGGAGACUUAACACAUGUAUUUUACUGGGGUUUUUUGAGAAAGGAAGCUAGGUUGCUAAGAAUUGCCAUUUUACCACCAACUGUUACCAUAAGACAGGGCUCUGAGGACUUCUGAAAUGGGUCUGGGGAUCUUCAUGUAUCUUGCAGGCUGUGGGUUACGCCCAUUCUACAACAGCUUAGUAAGCAAUGGAUCCAGCAGUAUUUUUUUCACCAAGUAUUUUUAGUGAUUAAAAUAAGCUAUUGUACCUGAUUAUUAUAUUCUUAGCUUUGUUGAACACUGUGCCCACACAGCACCCAACAAGACUGUUGACCUACUUAAAUACUAAUUGUUAUCUUUAAGACAUUGUGAACCUUUGAUGAGAACAGCCAAUAUCCAGUAUCUACUUUGCUGAAUUCACAUAUUGUACUAAAUCUUAAAGUGGCUUUUUGAUGUUGUCUUAGCAUGUUGUAUGAAACCAGCCAUUGUAGAUUAUAAACCACAAUUGUUCUACUUGUCAAUCAGAUCCCUUGAUCCGGCACAUCUUAAAGAAUUAGUAGCCAGGAAGCCACAAAAUAAUAUAUAUAAAACAUAUUCAGUGUACGCUUCUUCCUUAUACAAGUUCCUUCCCAUUUGUUGCAAUGGAAGGGAAAUUAUGUUAACAUGAGGCCUGAUACAGUACACAUUUUCCCAGUUCUUGCAGCACAUUAGAGUGUUAGAAGGGUCCUAUAGAUCCAAGCCUUCCAUUGACAUCCCAGAAAAACACCUAUCCUGUUUUUACUAAUGGAGCUCCAGAAUCAGAUGGCUAAGGCUAGAGUUUGCUGCUGGAGUUAGAUUUCUGUCUCUAAGGGUGUAUCCCUUUCUUGCCCUCUUUCUAUUUGCAGUUUGUGCCCUGACAACCUAACUUUUCCCUCUUGAUCACAUGAAUUCCCUAGUGACAUGUAUCAUCAAAGAUGUGUUUGGAGAGUGUUGAGAGACACGGGCAACCCCUCUGCCCUCUGGUCAACCUGUACUACAGCCAUUUUUAUUCCUACAUUUGUGCCCUUUCCUUUGCACUUUGGUUUCUGAAUUCCUUUCAAACUGGUCACCUUGCUCCUGUUUUGGACACCAACUUUUAUCCAGGCUCCAGAAAGACAGCGAAGAGAGCAGAUAUCUGCUAUUAUAAAUAAAAUGUUUUGUAUGGGGGAAGAAGGAAUAUUAGUACCAUCCCAUAUUAACAGUACUGUAUUCUGACAUGCUGUCAUUGGAGAUCUUUACCUUGAGAUGUAGCAGGCUUGCUAGCUCUCACUGCAGUUCUAUAAAGUUAGGGAUGUUAAUUUCUACCCCUCCCCUCCCUCUUUAUGAAGUAAGAAUAGCACAGCAGCUGCUCAGCUUCAGUUUUCCUUCUCUCCAGGACCUCACCAGUUGCAUAAUCAUGGCAGAGGUAUGACUAUUUCUAGCCUACUGUCUUCCCAUAGGUUUACUUCUUAUUAUUUGAGGUUGAGAAAUGCCAAAUGGGGCAUGAGAGGACAGGCAAACAAACCAGCCUAGAGAAACCAAGCCAGAACCACCCCAUUCACGCUGCAGCGCCCUGCUCCGUUUCUAGUGAUACGUUAAGAUGGAUUAAAGCAAUCUGAGGGGAAAAAUCCAAAUAUCUUGCCUAUUACAGCUAGCACACUUCCAGUCAUCUUCACUCAGCAGUGACUUGGAACAAACACAACAGAGGCAAAGUAGAGAUUAGCAGUGGAUACAACAAAUUUUAUGCUGGAAUUGUUCCGUGCCAACUCAAGGAGGGGUGGAUGAUGCUUUAAUUCACUAGUGGGGAAAGGCCCUUUUUGGAGAGAGAGAUCCAAAAUAUCCUAAGGCUUCUGAGAUGCUCCCCUGGAGACUGCAUCAUGGCAGCCUAAAACUUCUUGAACCAUCUGUGCUCACAAGAUUCAAUUUGUUAAUAAAAUAAUUCCUAAUUACUUGUAUAAAGUUAAAAAAAAGUUUUAAGGCUGCGUUAAAAACAUUUCUAUUGCUUUUGUAGGAUUCUUGAUUCUUCCACAGAUUGUCUUGUGAAGACAUCUUUAACUCUUCAUGAAACAUUGCCUGUACAGUCAGUUGUUUGGGCUUCGAUUGUGCUUUGAAUAUUCAUCCAUGCUUAAAUCAAAUUCUGUAAAAAAACCCUUAAAAUUCAGGACUGGAUUCUAGAGACAAGUGUUUGGCAUGUUUUGGAAGCAUAUCAUUUGAUUAGAGUUGGAUUUCUGAUUCACUCCAGUUCUCAUUAUAUGAAUAAUAAUAUAUUUUGGAGACUAUAUAAACUUAUGUAUAUAAUUGUUUCUAUUAGUUUUCUACAAAAGUGAACAUGAAACUGCCUAAGCUCACAUCUUUCAGGCCAGCUGUGCACAUUUCAAAGCCAAACAUUUAGUAAUCAUCAUCUGAAAUUGCAAACCUGUGAAGUUUAUGCUCAGUAGCAGCUUUCAUCCCAUCUUCUAAGUUAUUACAGUAUUUAUUUUCCAGGAACUGUGUCCUUAUCAUUUAUUGCAUCAGCCCUAUGCAAGCCCACUGAAAUCUUUAAGUUCGCUGUAUUAUGCACUGGACUGUUUGAAGGAUUCAAGAGAAAGGGGUAGCAGCUCAAAAAACAGUUAACUGCCAGCCCCCAUCUGGAGCCCACCAGGCGGGUUGAAUUAAAUCCCUCCCCAUCCUCAUCUGUUGUAGUUCAGCAGAUCUGGAGAAAACGGCUGGGAAAUCCUAGUAGGCUACUGCCUCUGCCACCAGCGGCCACGGCCCUGCAAAAGAGCUAAUCCUCUUCCAAAAUUAAGGGAACGUGGGGUUAGGGUUGGAAUCGGGCCCCCGAGCUGUUAACACUCCUAAAUCGGGACGGGUGUCAACGGGGCCCGUCUCUAGAUAGCUGCGCCUCAAGCAGCCCUGCAGAAGUAACCUGAUCGCUCGUGCCUCGCAGCGUCCUCGCCUUUUGUGUUUCGCGGGCACAAGGUGCCAGGGUGGUUUGGGGCGUGUGUGUCUUUUACGCUGUUUACUCGGAAGUAAAUCAAGUCACUGGGACUCUUAAGUAAGUGUGCAAAGGGCGUCUGUCUUCGUUGCAGGGCAUUCUCAAUAACGGGAUCGCGCGCUCGCUCUCCCUCUUACACACACACGCACACACUCCCCGGAGAAAGGAUACAGUCCAGAGGCCUUUGCUCCUUAACUGCAGCUGCAACAGGCACUGCCCGGGCACUGCCAGCGGCGCCCCUUCGGCUGCAGCUGCCUCUCGCUGCUCCUUUCCGCGCCUCGCGCCCGCUUCCCCCAGCCGGCUCCCUUUCCUCCCCGCGGGAGGAGCGCUCCUCGGCGUCAGGUAGGAUCCUCCGAGCGCCUCCAGGUCUCCGUCGGGGAGAGAAAAUGGCGCCUCCGCCGACCAGAGAAC